This 414-nucleotide ribosomal RNA is filed under the name uncultured bacterium. RNAcentral's name for it is "bacterial SSU rRNA". It matches the Rfam family "Bacterial small subunit ribosomal RNA", at positions 102 to 520 of the family's 1533-position model. The record is from RNAcentral.
ACGGGUGCGUAACACGUGGGUAAUCUGCCCUCUGAUGGGGAAUAACUCGCCGAAAGGCGAGCUAAUUCCGCAUAAUAUUCCGAGAACCUCGGUUUUUGGACUGAAAGGCGUAAGUCGUCGGAGGAGGAGCCCGCGCACGAUUAGCUAGUUGGUAGGGUAAUGGCCUACCAAGGCUUUGAUCGUUAGCUGGUCUGAGAGGAUGGCCAGCCACACUGGAACUGAGACACGGUCCAGACUCCUACGGGAGGCAGCAGUGGGGAAUCUUGCACAAUGGGCGAAAGCCUGAUGCAGCGACGCCGCGUGGGGGAUGAAGCUUCUCGGAGUGUAAACCCCUUUCGAUCCGGACGAAUGCCCGCAAGGGAUUGACGGUACGGAUAUAAGAAGCCCCGGCUAACUACGUGCCAGCAGCCGCGG